GAUGAAAAUGCGAGGAUAUGUUAACAUUAAACGCAUCUAGAACUCGACGCGAGGAAACAUGAAUCAAAGUGUUAAGUUCCUUCUCGUACUUUUUUCUCUUAUUUUCGUGUCGGGGUACAUCGUGACUCCUGCUGAAGCGGAUCCAUCAAAAUGUGGCGUUUUCUAUAGAAAAAGAUGUCGCUUUCCGGAAAUAAGAGCCAUGUGUGGGGAUCUAUGUAACGGAAGAUAGAAAACAUUGAUUGCAUAAUGGACGACGUCUACAUCCUGAACCGAAGUAUUAGGUUUAUUUGUAUAUAAUUACUUACAAACAUGUAACUGAAUACCAACAGUAAAUAAAGUGUGAAAAUUA
This is a long non-coding RNA of Hylaeus volcanicus, 349 nucleotides long. RefSeq lists it as uncharacterized. Lineage: Eukaryota; Metazoa; Arthropoda; Insecta; Hymenoptera; Colletidae. The record is from RefSeq and is a predicted model, not a curated record. The transcript is spliced from 3 exons.